Triticum urartu is the source of this 125-nucleotide non-coding RNA. The record is from Rfam. NCBI's taxonomy places the organism in Eukaryota, Viridiplantae, Streptophyta, Magnoliopsida, Poales, Poaceae.
CUUGUACUUUCUCCGUUCGAAAUUACUUGUCACAAAAAUGAAUAAAAAUAGAUGUAUCUAGAACUAAAAUACAUCUAGAUAUAUCCAUUUAUUUGACAAGUAUUUCCAGACAAAGGGAGUAUUAU